Molecule: long non-coding RNA, 6572 nt
Filed under: Homo sapiens (human)
Lineage: Eukaryota; Metazoa; Chordata; Mammalia; Primates; Hominidae
Description: HSALNT0218772
Source: RNAcentral
CAGAGUUCUCUCUCAUUAACAUAUUUUGAGACAGGGUCUCUCUCUGUUGCCCAAGCAUGAUUUCUGCUCAUUGCAGCUUUGUGCAGCCUUGACCUCCUGAGCUCAAGUGAUCCUUCCACCUUAGCCUCCCCAGUAGCUGGGACUACAGGCACACAGAGUCACACUGAGCUAAAAUUUUUUUGUAUUUUUUUUUAGAGAUGGGGUUUUGCCAUGUUGCUCAGGCUGGUCUUGAACUCCUGAGCUCAAGUGAUCCACUCACUUCAGCCUCGCAAAGUGCUGGGAUUACAUGCAUGAGCCGCUGCGCUUGGCUCUCUUCCAUGUCUUUUUGUGGCUUUCUUUCUUUCCUUUUUUUUUUUUUUUUUAUCACUGGAUAAUAUUCCACUGUAUGGAUGUACCACAGUAUUGCUCUCAAUCAUAUUCUAUUGACCAAAGUAAGCCACAUGGCAACCCUGACUUCAAGGGAGGGAAGGGUUAUCCAAUCAUAUAAUUGGAAGAAGAAAAAGUAGAACUAUUUUGUGAGCAGCACUAAUUAACCCUUUUGCUUCCAUGUCUUGAAUGAAGUAACAAUGUUAUGCUCACAGUCAAAUCUUUUUCAGGGUAAGUGAGAGAGUUUCAAUUUAACGACAACUUGGACCCCCAAUUUUUGCUAUGAAGAAAGUAAUAAAAGGAGCCAGAACACUCCUCAUAUAUUACAAAAAAAUCUCAAUAUGAUCUCAAAGCUUGGCUGCAGGCUGCUCACAGAUCCUCUGUGUCCUCCCUGAAUACCAUGUAAGUGACAGCGUCUUUGGAGUCCUAAAGGGGCCACACCUUUGUCAGAAGCCAUAUGCACUUGUUAAACUGAACUAAAUAUGGCCUGAGAAGGACGCCAUACUUCUAAAUUUGAGUCCAUGAGGACAAACUGUAACCUAACUUUAUAGUCAGAUAGGAUUGAAAACCUGACUUAAGAGUAUGUGCCUGUAACAAUAGCUGAGGUCUGGCCAAUCACAGCAGCCAUACGUCAACCACUCAUACACUGCUGAGUGUUCAGAUUUGUUCAAAAAAGGCAAAUGUUGAGCUGUAAUCAGUCCAGCUGUUUCUGUACCUCACUUCUGAUUUCUGCACGUCACUUCCCUUUUGUUGUCUAUAAAUUUGUUCUGACCAUAAGGCAUCCCUGGACUCUCUCUGAAUCUGUUGUGAUUCUGGAGGCUGCCCAAUUUAUGAAUUUUUUUUUCUUGCUCAGUUAAACUCUGUUAAAUUUAAUUUGUCUGAAGUUUCCUUUUAACACAGUAUAGCCUCAGAAUAUUGCUCAAUAUUGUCCUGGACGUAGACAGAAGUGAUAACAAAUCAGGUAAAGGCCAGUCCAGAAAACAGACACCCAUCAGUUUUCCUAAUAAAGAAUACUUAAUAUAAGGAAUUGAAGCACUGAAAGUGAGGAGGAGGACCACUGGAGGGUCACGGAGCUAGCAACUGCAGGAAGCAAUCGCUACCCCUAGGGCUGAGAGAACAAAAGGGAUGCGUCAGGUGCCUGGGAUCUGGAAGCUUGGAGGAGGGCCCUGCAGAGCUGGAAACUGGACCAGGAGGGAGGGGUGCUGCCUGGUGGAGGCAGGUGCGUUGGAGACUCAGAGCAGGGACCCUCAAAACAGGGACUCAAUAUCUGGGGAGGAGGUUCUGGUUGACAGACGCUAUCACUGAGGGAGUGUGUUCUUGUAGUGAGGAAAAUAACUGCAAACUGGAGCUAAGGGCUGCUGGGAUGAUACUGACAGGACCAGCAAAAAAACAGAAGGAACAAAUCCCUUCUUCCCCACUGCCUCCAGACUCCCUCUAGUGCCCCACUACUGGCAGCCUAAGAGAAAUCCCUCUGGCAAAGCUGAAAUGUGAUUACAGAGGCCCAGCCCCAGCAACACAAAGCUGAGAAUGAAGGGUGAGUGUGGAGUUUACAGGCAACAGCUUAAUAAUCAACACAGACACUAAACAAAUAUUUGGUCCCUGUCUCUUAUGCUAAUAUUUGCUCAUUACAGCUAAAAGACUCUGAGGAAGGCCGAGGUCAGAGAAGGCGUAAGAUCUGCUAUUGACAUGUCCUGAAAGCCUUCCUUUUUGGUAACUGUCAGCUAAAAGAAUCAUCCCGGCAGUAUCAUCUGGAAACUCGUCCAGCUUGUUUUUUGGCCACCACUCAAUAAGAACUUAGUUUGAGUUCCUUGCUCUUGCUUUAAGUAGCUUUUAGAGUUCUUUGAGACAUUUGUACUUGAGAUAGAGAAAAGAACAGCUCCAUGACAAUCUUGGCUUCCCCAGGGUAUUUGAAGGGGCUUACUGUCCAUUCCCAGUUCUGAAUCACCAAAUUCCACUAAAUAGCCAAGGUACUCACCAACCGUUCUUCCUUAAUCUUUGCAGUCCUUCCUGUUCCCAUUUCUUAUUUUUAUGUAUUUCUGUCCUUUCUUUUCCCUGUUUUAAAAUCCUUCCCCUUCUUCUUUUCUGCCAUUCCACUGCUUUUCCUGAUAACCCUCACUCUUCCCGGGGGACAGCACAGUGUGCUUGAAAGAGCAUGACUCCUGCACAAGAAGGGCCUAGGGUUAAAUCCUAAUUCUAAUGUUUACUUGCUUUAUGAUCUUGAGCAAGUAAUUUUUCAUUUUCAGUUUUUUAAAAUGGAAAUAAUUGCUAGGAUACGUGUACUUUGUAAGAAGAAAAUGAGAGAAUGUAUAUGUAGUGCCUGAUAGAUAAUAGGUGCUUGUUAAAUAUUUGCUUCCAUCUCUCUUUUUGUUGUUGUUAUCAAAUGCACCCUUAGGUACACCUAUUGAAAACCAACUUAAGACUUCCUUAUGUCUGCUGCAGAGCCCUGCGCUAGGCGCCUAUCUUAGACCCAGCCUGAAUUCUUCUCCUAAAGUACCGAAUUGUUUAUUUAAUCUGGCCAUAUUUUAUUUAACUCACUUUCUCUGUCUUAAUUAUUUGGAAACUGGUGAGGCUCAAAAUUCAGUCUGUGGCAGCCAGAAUUACUAAGCUGGUGUAUUUUGACUAAAACAGGGGAAAGUUUGCAGCAUAAGGGAAAGAAAAGACAGACUAGGUUUGGAUUACUCUGACUGGAAUCAGUGGGAGAUGGAAGGUUCAAGUCCUAAACUGGCAUUCCCUCACACUUCAUGCCAGGACCAGCCAUCAGAUACCACUCAUCGUCAUGUGCAGACUGGCCCUAGAGCUGGAAAAUGGCCACCGAGGUCACGAGAGGGUGGAAAUAAUAUUUCACUCUGUCUCAGUGUUACGACACCUUGCUGGUUAUUUACCUUCCAGUCCUUUGGAACCCUUAACUAGAAGUAGUUGCAAAGUCAGCCAGCCAGCGAGCUAAGUACUGAGCCAAGCAUCACUGAAGAAUUUGUGUGGCACCUCAUGUGUGCAAGAUGGCUGCUGCUGCAGUGGCAAGCACCAUGUCUUCACUGACCUGCACAGAAGCUUAAAUUCUGACUUGCUUGAUGGCAUGGCAUGCAUGCCCAAUGGGAAAAGCCAUUUGAUUCAUGUACAGGUUCAUGAAGGGCAUGAUUACUGGGAGCUUCCCUUUUGGACUUGAAGUAUAAGAUUUAUUUCACACUGAUGCCCUUCCUUGAGUAAUAAUAACACUAAUAUUCACUGAGCACUUAUUACCUUCCAAGCUAAACCUUUUGUUUGUUUGUUUGUUUGUUUUUGACACAGAGUCUCACUCUGUUGCCCAGGAUGGAAUGCAGUGGUGCCAUCUUGGCUCACUGCAACCUCCACCUCCCGGGUUCAAGUGAUUCUCCUGCCUCAGCCUCCUGAGUAGCUGGGACUACAGGUGUGCACCACCAUGCUGGGCUAAUUUUUGUACUUUUUGUAGAGACAGGGUUUCAACAUGUUGACUAGGCUGGUCUUGAGCUACUGGCCUCAUGUGAUCUGCCUGCCUUGACUUCCCGAAGUGCUGGGAUUACAGGCGUGAGCCACCCUGCACUGUGGCCAAACGCUUUUAUAUGAACAUUUUAGUCAUCUUCAUAACAACUCCACAGAGAGGAUAUUAUUUAUAUUAUCUUCAUUUUACAGAUGAGAAAACUAAAGCUUAGAACAGGGUUUUUCAAAUUGUGGGUCUGAAACCAUUAGUAGACCAUGAAAUCAAUUUGCUGGAUUAUGACUAGCAUUUAUAGAAAUUUACAUAGAAUAGGACCAAUCAAAUGGUGCUCACAAAAUAUCAAAAAUAAUUAUUUUUUAUUAAUCUUUUAAUUUAUGUGAGUAUGUGUGUGUGUGUGCACACACGUAGAGUAUUAUUUAUGUUAAAUAUAUUUCUUACUGUGGAUUGCAGUGAAAAAAUGUUUGAAAAGUCUAUCUUUGAGUUUAAGUAACUUGCCCAAGAUCAUGUGGUAAAUUAUGAAGCUGUAAUUUGAGCCCAUGCAGUCUGAGACCAGAAUCUGUGCUCUCAAUCUCUGCCAUGCUGCCAACUUAACUUAGAGCAUGGGGAGCCCAAGAAAGGGCAGUCGUGUAGAGAGGGAAAACAAUGGGAGAGGAGCAGCUGGAGAAUGGAGGCAAGGCCCCAGACUCCUGGAGAAUGUUCUGUGUUCCUGUUACUGGGCUCAGGUUGCAAAGGUUUAGCACGCGAAUGGCCGUGGCGCUCUCUGGACAGCCCUCAGAACCACAGGUCUUGGUUCCCAGCACAGUUCUGCUGGAUGCCAGGCAUAAUUGCUAUUCACUACCCCUUGUAUUUGCACAUCUUUGCUGGUUUGAACAAAAAAUUAUAUUACUUUAUUGAUGUCAUUCCCAUACAGAAUUUUAGAGCUGUAAGAGAACUUAAGUCCUGAGUUGUCUGGAUGCUAAAUGUGAGACCUGAGAGGUCAAGUGACACGCUAAGGUCACACCGAAGAUGACAGGGAGCAAGACUCAGACCUUGGGCAUGCAGGCCUGUGCUUUUCAUUGCUUUCAUUUGUAUCAUGACCUGGUCCUUUUAGAAGGUGGUGAAUUACAGGCUAGCAGGAAAGGUCUGCGUGUGCCUCAUCCUGGAGGCUUAUUUGAAAACUGGAGAAAAAGAUGUCUUCUCUAGUAUCCAUGCUGGGUUUCAAGGUGGGCUGGAAUCUUCUCGUGAGAGUGCAGGGAAGUGAGAAUGGAGAGAAAGGGGGUGUGCGUUGCCUCUUGGCUUGUUUUUCUAAGCACAAAAUGAAACUUUUUUCCAGGCAACUUUUUCUUUUCUUUUUUUUUUUUUUUUUACAAAAAUAAUAAUUUGAGACUCUUUCCCAGGGCAAAAAUACACUGUGCAGUCUUUGUGCCCACAGCACCUGUAGAAGGGAUUGAAUUGAAGUUUUGUUCAAGGUGCUGAAAGUUUAUGGUCCAUUUAGCUGUGAAGCAGAGUUUAAUGUUGGCAAACUUUUGUGUUUGUUUUAGUUUCUGAAAGUUGCUAACCAUUUUCCCUUUCUUGGGGAGGAGAGCAGGCCUGGCAGGAAAGGCAGGGCCAUCACUGGGGCAGGGUGGGCGGGGUGGGUAGUGUUUAGGUACAGAAUCUUAAUGGGCCAGUAGAUAUGUCUGCCUGAUGCCUUUAGCACCACAGCCUGUUAGCCUGACCUGCUGGCACAUGGAGUUAAGGCCGCAGAGGCUGAGGAAAGUGGGUGUUUUCGGAGCCCCUUCCUUCAGCAGUUUCAUCCAGUGUGGAUGCUGAUGGACAGCUACAAUCCCCAGAGCCAAGUGCACAUUCCUGCAAAAGAUAAACAUUUGUCUAUUUGCUCAACUCUGCUCUCACUUUGUUACCAUCUAAGCCAGAUCUAUCAUGCCCUCGAUGCAUUUGGCAGGAGGGAAAACAGAUGGUCAUAGACCUGGCUAAACAGUUCCUAUUUCUGCAGCCCUGGCACUAGUAAUUCUGGGUCUACUUGCAAUUUUGUGUAAGACGCUAGAUAAGAGGCCUAAAGCCCAUCACCUGCCCUGGUCUAUGCACUAGCAAUAAGCAGAUGUUACCUUGAGUCUGGAGUAACAACCAGACUCAUUUGGCAAUUCUGGAGGCAAAUUGCUUGUCAGAAACACAAAAACAAAUAUUUCAUAAACAUAAUAAUCAUGUGUCAAGGGUAAGUCUCAUGUUCCUACCUCAUUUCUUUGUCCUUUCCCCUAAUUUCCAUUUUCUCCAAGGUAAUUCAGGACCCUGCUGCCUCUUGCCUAAAUUAGGGCAAGAACUUUCUAUCUCAUCUCCUUGCCUCUAGACUCUCCCCACUCCUCCCUACUCCUUGCAAGUGCACCUCAUUCCUGGCUACCAUAGGCACAAUCUUCUCUCUCCUUAGUGGGAAGAGAUCACAUCUGAUUCAGCAUGAGUACCUCAGCACUCAGCAUGGUUACAUCAGCACCCUGGUACAUAGAUGCUCAAAUGAUAGUUGUUAUAAAAAUGAAUGCAUAAAUCAAGUGCUAUAGUGUUGGGUUGGUACACAUAGAAUGUCUCUGUAAGUUCAUUUUUAACUUCUCUAUUUAAAGGAGGGAUCAUGGUUCAGAGGAAAGAGCACUAAAGUACGAGUCAGAAGACUUGGCUUUGCAUGAUAGCUGUGUCACCAUAUGCUAGCUGUCAUGCUAAGUGCUUUGAAUUCACUAUCUCAUCUCUUACAAAUAACCUCUGAGAUAUAUAUAUAAUCUUCAUAUAUGAU